RNA transcript from Falco peregrinus (peregrine falcon), 9799 nucleotides. It is a transcript of the gene named tryptophanyl tRNA synthetase 2, mitochondrial, with no coding region annotated. The record is from RefSeq and is a predicted model, not a curated record. Lineage: Eukaryota; Metazoa; Chordata; Aves; Falconiformes; Falconidae. The transcript has 8 exons.
CGCGGACGCUUCCCGCUUCCUCCCCCCCCCCCCACCCCUUCCCGCCUUUGCCAUGGCGACACCGAGCGGCCUCCUUCGCGCCCUGCACCGCGGGACCCUCGGCCAGAUUACUAAGGAAGAUACCAAAAUAUCAAAUAAUACUGGACCCAGGACAAAACCCUGCAAAACUCUGUUUGGUAUAUCUUUCCACAACCACUGUAAGCCAUCAAAUAUGGUCAUGGAUCGGAUUUUCUCUGGUAUCCAGCCAACUGGGACGCCCCAUUUGGGUAACUACCUUGGAGCCAUUCAGAACUGGGUGAACCUGCAGGAAGAGGGCAGCUCAGUGCUGUAUAGCAUUAUGGACAUGCACUCGCUCACCAUGCCCAAGGAACCAGCUGUCCUGCGCCAGAGCAUAUUGGACACCACUGCUGCCAUCCUUGCCUGUGGUAUUGACCCAAAGAAGUGCUUCCUGUUCCGACAGUCACUGGUUCCUGAGCAUGCAGAACUUGCCUGGAUUCUUGGGUGCUUAACUAACGUGCCGCGUCUGCUACGCUUGCCCCAGUGGAAGAUGAAGUGUGCCAGCCAGAAUAAUGAAGGAACUGUUGGUUUGUUGACUUACCCUGUGCUUCAAGCAGCAGAUAUUUUGCUGUACAAGUCGACACAUGUUCCCGUUGGAGAAGAUCAAGUCCUGCACCUGGAACUAGCCCAAGAUAUAGCACACCAUUUCAACAAGAAAUAUGGAGAAUUCUUUCCUGUGCCCAAAGCCAUUUUAAGUACAACGAAGAAAAUAAAAUCCCUCAGAGAUCCAACAGUGAAGAUGUCCAAGUCAGACCCACAGAAGUUAGCUACUGUUAACAUAGCAGACAGCCCUGAUGAAAUAGUGCUGAAAUUCCGCAAAGCUGUGACUGACUUUACCUCUGAGGUGACCUACGACCCAGCCAGUCGCCCUGGUGUCUCCAAUCUGGUCUCCAUUCAUGCUGCAGUAACAGGGCUUAGCAUCAAAGAAGUGCUGCACCAAUCUGCUGGUCUCGACACUGCUCACUACAAAAUGGUGGUAGCAGAGUCAGUUAUUCAAAAAUUUGCACCUAUCAGGAAUGAAAUCAGGAGACUCCAGGAGGACAAAUCCCAUCUGAUAAAGGUUUUAGAGGAUGGAGCAAAAAAAGCCAAAGAACUGGCUGCCCCCAUCUAUCAAGAAAUAAGACAAAUGGUGGGAUUUCAGUAGAAACUACUGAGUAGUUGCAAGGACUUUUGUUUCCUGGGACAGACGUUUUGUUAUUUCUGUCUUCUUAAUCAUUUUGGUUUGAAACAACAACUUUUUUUCCAGGAAAGAUCCAAGUAGAACAUUGAAGGUGUUUGCAUUAAAAAAAUCUGCAUUAAGCCAGGUAUUUCUAGUGGGACCAGCACUGAGCUUGUCUGCAUAGUCAAAGAGGGAGGGCAGAAGCACUCACAAUUCAUGAAGAAAUCAUGCAAAACACACUAUAAGGUUGCCCAAAUGGGGUUUUGGGCUUUUCCAUUGACCGCUGCAAGCAGCUGAGGUAUAGCCAAGGUGAUCAGAAUCUAGCAGAAAGAUCUUUAAUCUUCUGAAGAACAUCCUUAGCUGUGUAUGUGAUCUUGGUACAGAUGGACAGCUCAUCCCAUUGGUGGUUAUUCAGCUUUGAUACCGUGGUGGAAUGUGUUCUUGGAUAACUAGAAUAAAAACACAGGCUUGCAAAUCAAAAUGCUCAGGGUGAUGAAGAGAGAACUUAAUGCUUCUCCCUAUUGUGUCUUCAAACUCCCUAUCGUGUCAAUCAAACAUGAUUUUAUAUCUGCAUCUAGUUUGUGUGAAGUGAGUCAGUGUGUCGUAUGGAUAUGGCUAUCCAUACUCUAAAACUCACUGUGACUGCUGAGCUAGAUGGCCUCUUUGAUAGUCACUCCACAGAAUCCAGAGAGUGGACUUGAAUGUCACUUCUGCCGCCUGUGCCAUCCUGGCAAUCAGGCCUAAGGUGCUUUAGUGAGAAAUGACAUGUGUUUCAGCUGCUCCUGUUCCACCUGCUGUUUGGUUUAGCAGGGAGCUCCAGGAUUUUCAGUUCAGCAUCAAAUCUAAGAUUUCUGUAGAAAAGGUGCAGUGGAAAAGAUGUAAUCCUAUGUGAAAGAAAUCUUAGGUUGAGAAAUCAGAGAAUGUUCUGUAAAAUUUACAAAAUUACUUGUUUAGAAAAUUGUGCUGAAGCCAGAGAUAGAAUGGGAUUAAAUAGAUCUUUAUGAACUCUCAGUACUGAACCUCAAGAAAGCUCAGUGAUGGGAGAAUGGUGUCAACCUGCACUGGACUUAGGCCGCACAAAACCCGCAGACUGGGACUCAAGGACCAUGGCAUUUGUUGGGAAACGUGUGGCAAAGGGGAAUUGCCAAAAGGAGACAAGCCUCUUCUGAAGACUGAGUAGUAGUACAUGUUAAAAGGGAUCUGGAGAAGAGAACUGCCAUGCAAGAACUCUAUGAUGACAGAGUUUCUAAAGUUAGUCAAGACUAGAGGAACAGAGUGGAUGGAGACAGAAUGAUGGGAAACCAAACUCGGUGUAGUCAAGUCCAAGGUAAUGUCCUCUGGAAAGAAUAUAUUCAAAAAUAGUCUUUGGUUUCAAAUUAACUGUAGCAGACUAGGAAGGGACUAUAACCGCAUAUUUAGGUAGUUGUACAAAACUUUUGUCAGCGUUUAACAGCUGCAUUGGUCUGCAUGGGAGCUAAGACAAAAAAUAAAGGUACACAGUUAUCACUGCUUAAUGACUUGGCAUAAAAUGUUUGCUGUGACACUUGUGCACUUUUAGACAUGGGUUGAUUGCUGCAAAGGUCCCACAAGAGAAGCUAAAACACUGCUCAUGGAGAUACUGCAGAUCUUUAACAUGAGUGUGUCUAGCUUCUACCUGUUCCUCUUUUUCACUAGCAAAGAUAGGAGCAUAUAUUCAAAGACAAGUCAUAGAUUCAAGGUGUCUUUACACUUCUGAUACUCAAAUCACCUAAUAUAUAGGGUUGCCAUUCAACACACCUUCUUUGCAGUGAAAAGGAAAUAGCAGUGUUCAUAUGUCUUCAAUAAAAUUUAUUUUAAAAGGAGGGGGGGGUGACAUCAACAGGCAAUUCUGGCUUGUUACCCAAACUGUUCUGAGUAGUCUUUCCAAAACUUAGAGAUUAUUAUUUUUUUUUAAGAAAAUCACGUAGGUGAAGCAGGAAGAAAAGUUUCAAAAGAUCCCUUUCUUUGGGGUAGGGUUUAAUAUAAUACAUACUUAGCAGUGUUUCAAUCAAAUUUACUAUUUUUCUCUUUUUAAUUCAAGAAUGGAUUGCAGUUUUCCCCUCCCUUUCCCCUAUCAGUCAAACAAAUCUUACUUGCCUAACCUAUUUCCUUCAAGUAAGGAAACAUGCCUGUUUUUUCUUCUUCAGGAAAGUUAAACUUGUGUAAAAUGAGUAUGUUCACCUACUGAUUGUUGACUUAGCUUUUUAUUUUAGUAGCUCCUGUGGAGGAAUUCUCAAAAUAAAAGCUCUUUUUGCCCAAUGUGAAAUAAUCCCAGUUCCACUAACAGCCAUGAUCAUUAGAGUCCCCUGAGAGGAGACAACUGUAAUGUAGGUGUGUGCAGUUAUCUGGUGCCUAUUUCAGUUUUCUUAGAGUGUGGCUUUUCUGGGAAGUUAACCAUCUUGGCAUUCAGGUUGAGUCUAGCUGCCUCUUUGCGUUCCUUGAGCUGUUUACUUAGCAUCUGGGAGGAGUUUGGCAAGAAGAAGCUGAGCUUAUGGCAACGUGUGCUCACUACUACCAGCAGAAGUUGUUUGAUACUAAGCUACUCUGAUGUCUUUGCUCUUCUUCUGCCUCCCUGUUUCCUUUUCAGAACAUCUUUGCAAACACCCUUUCCAGAUGGUGUUCUGUGGCAGUGUUAACUUUAACAAAGUAGUGUGGAUGAGUUAGAGCAGCUUUUUGGAGAGUUGUUGGGGAAGGCUUGAUGCUAUAGUAUUCAGAAGGAUUUGUCUCACUCACUCUAGUCCAGGUUAUUACAGUGCCAGGGAUUUGCUGUUUGUUUACAUCUGGAGUGCAGUAGGUGCACCACUGAAAUGUGUUUUCAUGUUUGGUUUCAUCCAGUUCAUAUUCCCUGAGACUGCUCUGUGAUGCCUGCUGAAGUCUAGUUAGUGCAGACAGUGGGGGGGUCUGCAGAAGCACACUCACUCCUGAGCCCAGCCACAGUGCUGGUGUUAAGACGUUCCCUGUGGUGCCGUGGAAGUCAUUGUAAGGUGUUCUUUUCCAGGACUGGGUGGGAAAAAGAUCCAACUGCGUCUUUCCUGGCUGGAGAAAGAAGAGUUGAAGGAUGGAGAGGUGUCCUUACCCCUUGCUGUGUGGCCCUUUGUGUCAGCUUCCUUUUCUUCAGUGAUCCUUUUCCUCAAGUGUGUGCAGUAAUUUGUGUCUUAGUCUCAGAAUCUCCUCUUUUCCCAUUCCUGUAUGUUUAAUGCCUGUGAAGAAUGUAUGUAGUGGUUGGGAUCUGCAGAUCCCAGCAUCUCCAGGUAACGGAAGAGUUUCACUUUAGAGAUAAACAUGAACUCCACGUGAAUAACUAAGAUCUAAGUAAAACAUUUAUACACAUAUUACCUUUGCGGCCAGUGGUUCCUAGGAAGUCAUCACUGAUCACAAGACACUGAUAGUGAGUCUCAGUUCUGUGCUUCCAAUUUAGAGCACAGAAUUUACUGGCAAUUUUAGAUUCAGGAACAAUAAGCAGAGACUCCAGAUGGUGAUUGACCUCAUAAAUUAAUUCUGCCACUGCUUUUGCAUACACCCCUGCCUCAAAUAACUGGAGUGUAAGUAUAUUGUACGUUAUACUGGGAUUUGUUUGUAACUCUUAAAGAUGGGGCUGAAGUAUGCUUAGUUUUCAAACAGCAUGGUCUGGGUUCCUAGAUCCUCCAGAAGGUUUUGUGCAUAGUUCUGAUUCGGUGUGUGUUUAUCUACAAAAAACCAAGCAAAAUUCCUUUGCAGGAUUAUGGCUGCCUCUAUUCAAGGUUAGGGAGUUAAUCUGAGUGAGCUGAAAGUUUAAGGAAGGACAGUGAAAUGUGAUCCCUGGGGACUGACCUGCAUCUAAAUGUUUUGGGACUAUAGGUUAUCAGAGCAAAUGUUUUAUUAUCCUUGGUUAAGGGCCAUCAUCAUCCUGACAACAGCAGAGCAGUAAAUAAUGCUGGUGAAAGCCUUUAUGUUAGCUUAUGUAGAAACUCUGUAUCUGAUUUGUUGAGGACUGUACUAUAGCAUGAAACUUUUAACUUUUCUGGUCUCCACAGUUUGCUAGAUGAUUUUGUUAGCAGAAGUCUGUUUGGAAACCAUUAGCUAAAGCCAAAUCUAAUCCUCAGAUCCAAAGCCUUUGGAUGUUUUCCCAAAAUGGGUAUUUCCCAAAACAGCUUGUUUUUGAUAAGCUACAAUACCAAUUUCAGUAGUUGUUGUAGGAUCAGUAAGAGCCAGAGGGCCGUUCUGAAUGACUCAUGCGUAUUUUUCAUUACUGCUCUGAUGCACGUUCUACUUAUCCAUAUGGUUCAAGGAUUAUGACAAAACUCAGAGAGGGUCUGUGUGUUGUUCUGGUAAUAGCAACAAUAUGGACCCAAGUGGGUUUGAGUCCUAAAUCUAAUGAGCACGCUCUUUCAGUGGCCCAGCUUGGUUAGAUUUAUGUUCAGAACAACAGAUAGAUCUUUCACCUGUACCGAUGUCUCUGCAUUUGAGUUCCUGGAUGCUGCUGCCUACCUGUUCAUUUAUGACUGAUUGAUUGCUUCACAGAGCAAAAUAGUCUAGCAAGCUAGCAUAGGGAGUCUAGUGGAAAAGGGUUUCUGUUCAGGAAAGACGUUAUCUGUUCUUGCAAGGAAAACAAAAUCCAUCUUUCUGUUAUAUCAGAUGGUCUAAUUUCCUCAAAUUAUUUGAUCUGUUCCUUCAUUCUGCAUAAACUCGGCAACAAUAGCUGCAAGAAGAAUGCCGGUGUAUUGCAUUGUCAAAAGUCUUGAAGGACUCAGGCAUGUCCUCUCGUCAUUUCAGAAGUCUCUUACAUCGUGGGACUUCACUGAUUGCUUCAGCCAGUUUCAGGGAAAAUGCUGUAGCAAAACUGUGAUCAUAUGUGACAUUGUUCAUCUAAUUAAAGCUUUUGUGGUUUGGUUUGGGUUUUUUAACUCACUAGGUUGUGAGAGAAGACUUUUGUUAAACACUGAAUUUCCAAUGAAGCUUUCUAUCACGCUUAGUCCUUUGGUGACCAGAUGACAGCUGAAGUAAUGGAGAAUUCUCUUUAUUGUGACAAAAGGUUCUGUGCUGAAUCCCACUGUCUUUGCUGUCAGUUUUGUUGGCUGUGCUAAUGGUAGUAUUGUGGAAGGUUUGACAGAGUAGUAGUUAUUUGGUUUUUUGCCAUUGAAAAACCAGUCCACCUGCAACAGUCCCACAUUAUUAUGUAAAUGGAAUUCAUUGAUCAUUUUGCUUUUAGGCAGCAGCUUUGGUUUCACAAUUAUUUUGCAUGAAACCAAAUGCCAACCUCCUGCACCAAGGGAUGAGCACAUGUGCCCAGGUACAAUAAACAGUUUAACAUCUGGGAAGAUAUUUUGCUACUGUGGUAAAUUGCUGUCAUAGAACACCAUGACUGAAGAUGAAAUUAUCCACUACAGGAGCGGUCUUGUGCUGCCUGUGGACAUGAAACUAAGCACUGAGCUUAACGUCUGUUGUGCUGUUGUGCUCUCAGCACUCCAACAUGGCUGUGAGACAGGAACAGCAAAUCUGUGCCACACCAGAAGGCUCGAUCAGUUCCAGAUGUGCUAUAUUUGGUCUAUCUGCAAGAUGAAAUGUCAGGACAAGAGUUCCAGCACCGAAAUCCUUAAAAGUUAUUAAAUGCUUGGUGGUAACAGCAUGCUUGUAAAAGCCUGGGUAUGAUAGCAUGGUCAUAUAGCCUCAUUCAUAUGGCUGACACAAGAAGUCACACGGCUGUAUGGGAUGGUGGAGUAAAGUAAGCCACCUGCUUCCUCGAUAUGAUCAAUAUAAAGACAGUACGAGGCUAAUUUGAAGGGGUAAUGGAAUAACCCUUACAGGUGGGAAGCAACAGCUUAUGGCAGAGCAAGGUGGUACUAGAUCUCUCUUGGUGUCUGUCAUGGUUUAAUCCCAGCCGGUAAUGAAGUACCACCCAGCCGCUCACUCACUUCUCCCCCAGUGAGGUGGGAAAGAAAAUUGAAAGAGUAAAAGUGGGAAGACUUGUGGGUCGAGAUAAAGACAGGUUAAUAGGUAAAGCAAAAGCCGCGCAUGCAAGAGCGGAGCAAAACAAGGAAUUCAUUCACCGCUUCCCACCGCAGGCAGGUGCUCAGCCAUCCCCAGGUCAGCAGGGCUCCAUCACACGUAACACUUACUCGGGAAGACGAACACCAUCACUCUUAACAUCCCCCCCCUCCUGCUUCUUCCCCCAGCCUUAUAUGCUGCGGAUGAUGCCAUAUGGGGAGGAAUUACCCCUGUGGUCAGCUGUCCCCACUGUGCCCCCUCCCAGUUUCUUGUGCCCCUCAGCCUACUUGCUGGCGGGGCAGCCUGAGGAGCAGAAGGGGCCUUGGCCCUGCGUAAGCGCUGCUCAGCAGUGACAGACAUCCCUGUGUUACCAGCGCCGUUUCCAGCACAAAUACAAACCACAGCCCCAUACCGGCUAUGGUGAAGAAAAUUAACUCUACCCCGGCCAAAACCAGCAUAUUCUCCUAAACUAUUCUGAAAACAGAUGCUUGCUGUUCAGGUCAUUCAAACACAGGCAAGAUCCUGCAUGGCCAGCAUCACUAGUCCCACAUGCUGUUGUAUCUACAACUCUCCCGUUGGUCUGAUUUCCGAGGCAUACCUUUGUUGUUGGUGUGACUUUAUUGUCAUCCAUCAACAUGAAAUAAUGGUCACGUGCUGAUAAAAUUAAUGAAACUUCUGUUAGAAACAUUGAAUGUAUGUCCUCUGCUACCUGUGGUGAAAACUUUCCUCGUGCCCCAGGGUUUAUAGAAACAUAUUGUUAAGCUAAAUACAGAUGAAACUUAUCAAAACAAGACUACUCUCUGGCAUUACCCAGAGUUUCUGGUGUAGGUGGUCUCUGGCUUCAUUCACCCUGUUUACCUCCAUGUUUGCUUCCUUAAACCACAUCACUCUCUGAGUAAAGUAAAACCGUGUAUGUUGAAUGUUGUGAGACUGACUUUUUAUUGUGACUGGAAACAAUUGUUCAAAUAUAUUUCAAGAUUCUCUUUGUGGUGUUUGCUGAAUGAAUAACAAAGGUCUCAAUAAGUGCCUCUUGAGUACUCAAGCCAAGAAAGAUCUUUCUGAGUGGGUCGGGGCUUGCUCUGCCCACACUUACUCCUUCACAGCCUGCCUGGCAGAUGUUCCUGCAACAAGAAUGGGAAAAAGAGCAAUUUUCUGUUUAGGCUUGUGGGCCAAAUGCAAACUGUGAGUGGCAGUGUAGCAUUUUUAGGCAAACUUCAUCAACUGACAUAUGUACUUGCAAUCCCCCAAAAUUGAAGUUGUGUGGAUAUUCGGAGGAAGGGGAAAGGGCAGGUAUUUACCUUACAGUAGCUGUGGUUCUUCAAGGCUUGUUACCCACAUAUGUUGUGUGUCCUGCCUUCCAUCUGUUCUCCUGAGAUUCUUGCUCUUAAGUAUAGGUUACACUUUUGUCUUGCAACAGGAAGCAAGGUGUACAGAGUUAAUGCUGGGCUUCAUUGCCUGUGUCUCUUAAAAGAAUCCAGUCAUAUGUUCCUGGGGCAUAUGUGGAAUCCGUGUGGACGAGGCAUCUCAAAGGACCGCUGUUUUAACUCUAGCUUUGAUGCACAGAAAGCUCCUCCCCAUCCUACCAAGAACACUUCACAAGAAGCACUGGAUUUACUGUCUAGUCACAGGCUGAACACACUGCAUGUCAGCGACUGGACCCAUUCCUGUCCCAGAGCUAGCGCGUUUGCUCAGCACGCACCUUGACACACAAGACAGAAGGGCCUUGACAGACCUUGGGAAAACGUUAGUUGGGAGAGGAUUGCUGCUGCCAUGGAGGCAACUGAUCUGAGCUGUGACACUCCUGGCUUAUGCUCAGCAACAUGAAUCCCCCCUACUAGAAGGAAGCUGUGAAGUGGAUGAACUUACUAUGUGGGCUGCGUGAAGGCUGCAGGUGGCGUAGCGUUGGUGUGACCUGUUGGGAGAGUAUCAUUUUGGUGUUUAGUAACUAUUGCAGAAACGACUUGGGUGGGCUGGGAUUCUGAAGAUCUUGGAUUCUUGGAUCCAGGUGUGCUGCUCAGUUGUACAGAGGAGCAGGUUGUUCUGGCUCCGCUGAAGAUGAAAUGUGCUCUUGCAAGGGACUUAUUUCUAAUGGGCUUAAUUCCUACAGAGAAACAGUGCUGUUAAAGUAGAUUCACAAUAUACCUGUGUAGAGUAACAGCAAAACUGAGGUGGUGAGCAUCGCUGCUGUUGUAAUCCAUUCUGCUUACCAGCAUCACAUGCUGGCAGGAAUAGAAACUUUUUUCCUUCUUUAAGGCAGCAAAGUCCGGACUCAAAAGGGCUUCACUCUACUCUGCUGCUUUGGAGGAGAUGGAUUAGCUGAAGUGUGAAUGUCAUCUUUGUGGUUUAUGAGGAUGUUUCAGUAAAUGAUGAGUGGGGUUGUCAAGGGAGAUCUCUGGAUGGCCUGAGAAGAUUUAAUGGGUGCUGGAAGGUUGGGGGGUGGGGGUGGUGUUUUAGUUCUCGUUAGUUUAAAAGAAAAGUGUAACGUAGCUGCAGCUGAGGAUCAGCAGCUGAGAAUUAAAAUAGAGAAGAUUUCCUGUCAACCUUGUAGAAUGUUUUGCUACAGCUUCAUAGAAAACAAUGAAAUGUGCAUCACCAAGGCCA